CGAACGGGUGAGUAAUACGUGAGUAACCUGCCCUUGACUCUGGGAUAAGCCCGGGAAACUGGGUCUAAUACUGGAUGCUACAUGUCACCGCAUGGUGGUGUGUGGAAAGGGUUUACUGGUCUUGGAUGGGCUCACGGCCUAUCAGCUUGUUGGUGAGGUAAUGGCUCACCAAGGCGACGACGGGUAGCCGGCCUGAGAGGGUGACCGGCCACACUGGGACUGAGACACGGCCCACACUCCUACGGGAGGCAGCAGUGGGGAAUAUUGCACAAUGGGCGAAAGCC
Molecule: ribosomal RNA, 284 nt
Filed under: Kocuria sp. Ny1-6
Lineage: Bacteria; Bacillati; Actinomycetota; Actinomycetes; Micrococcales; Micrococcaceae
Description: partial 16S ribosomal RNA
Rfam family: Bacterial small subunit ribosomal RNA
Source: RNAcentral